This 72-nucleotide transfer RNA is filed under the name Bos taurus (domestic cattle). It matches the Rfam family "tRNA". From Rfam's summary of the family: Transfer RNA (tRNA) molecules are approximately 80 nucleotides in length. Their secondary structure includes four short double-helical elements and three loops (D, anti-codon, and T loops). Further hydrogen bonds mediate the characteristic L-shaped molecular structure. tRNAs have two regions of fundamental functional importance: the anti-codon, which is responsible for specific mRNA codon recognition, and the 3' end, to which the tRNAs corresponding amino acid is attached (by aminoacyl-tRNA synthetases). tRNAs cope with the degeneracy of the genetic code in two manners: having more than one tRNA (with a specific anti-codon) for a particular amino acid; and 'wobble' base-pairing, i.e. permitting non-standard base-pairing at the 3rd anti-codon position. Lineage: Eukaryota; Metazoa; Chordata; Mammalia; Artiodactyla; Bovidae. The record is from Rfam by way of RNAcentral. RNAcentral also lists the same sequence under 4 other names.
UCCCAGGUGGCUCAGAUGGUAAAGAAUCUGUCUGCAAUGCAGGAGACCCUGGUUCAAUCCCUGGGUUGGGAA